Molecule: ribosomal RNA, 497 nt
Filed under: uncultured bacterium
Lineage: Bacteria
Description: partial 16S ribosomal RNA
Rfam family: Bacterial small subunit ribosomal RNA
Source: RNAcentral
GAUGAACGCUGGCGGCGUGCCUAAUACAUGCAAGUCGAGCGAACAGACGAGGAGCUUGCUCCUCUAACGUUAGCGGCGGACGGGUGAGUAACACGUGGAUAACCUACCUAUAAGACUGGGAUAACUUCGGGAAACCGGAGCUAAUACCGGAUAAUAUAUUGAACCGCAUGGUUCAAUAGUGAAAGACGGUUUUGCUGUCACUUAUAGAUGGAUCCGCGCCGCAUUAGCUAGUUGGUAAGGUAACAGCUUACCAAGGCAACGAUGCGUAGCCGACCUGAGAGGGUGAUCGGCCACACUGGAACUGAGACACGGUCCAGACUCCUACGGGAGGCAGCAGUAGGGAAUCUUCCGCAAUGGACGAAAGCCUGACGGAGCAACGCCGCGUGAGUGAUGAAGGUCUUCGGAUCGUAAAACUCUGUUAUUAGGGAAGAACAAAUGUGUAAGUAACUAUGCACGUCUUGACGGUACCUAAUCAGAAAGCCACGGCUAACUACGUG